RNAcentral lists this ribosomal RNA (250 nucleotides) under uncultured bacterium. RNAcentral describes it as "partial 16S ribosomal RNA". It matches the Rfam family "Bacterial small subunit ribosomal RNA", at positions 524 to 773 of the family's 1533-position model. The record is from RNAcentral.
UACGUAGGCAGCGAGCGUUGUUCGGAGUUACUGGGCGUAAAGCGUGCGUAGGCGGUUUUCUAAGUUUGGUGUGAAAUCUCCCGGCUCAACUGGGAGGGUGCGCCGAAGACUGGGAGACUGGAGUGUGGGAGAGGUAGGCGGAAUUCCUGGUGUAGCGGUGAAAUGCGUAGAUAUCAGGAGGAACACCUGUGGUGUAGACGGCUUACUGGACCAUGACUGACGCUGAGGCACGAAAGCGUGGGGAGCAAAC